CAGCAGGAAGUAUGAGAUCAUUGCUGCAGCUCAAGUUCAUGCAUCUUGACAGAGAGAUGCUCUCCAUACCAGCCUCAGCAUUGGUGUUACAGGCUCAGGCAGCCAUGCCCACCUUUGUAUAGGUGCUGUGGAUCUGAAAUCAGAUUCUCAUAUCUGCACAGCAGCCACGCCUACCCAUUGAGCCAUCUUCCUAUACCUGUACACCUUUUAAUAACCAUGUAAUAGCAACUGGAUUUACUAGAAAAGAUGUGAGAAACUGCACAAGCUCUCAGCGCCUGGAUGACACCACCCUCUGCCGUGUGUUUUCUGCUUUGAUGGACUGCACACCCGAGCAAAAUAAACCUGUGCCCUUUAAGUUGCUUCUUGUCAGGUAUUUGGUCACAAAGUUGAAGACAUGAUCUUUCAUCUUAGUGCUCUAGCUGUCUGCUGCUCUGCCUCCCCCACCAUCAUGGACUCUCU
Molecule: non-coding RNA, 459 nt
Organism: Peromyscus maniculatus bairdii (prairie deer mouse)
Lineage: Eukaryota; Metazoa; Chordata; Mammalia; Rodentia; Cricetidae
Source: RefSeq, a predicted model, not a curated record